Molecule: ribosomal RNA, 466 nt
Filed under: uncultured bacterium
Lineage: Bacteria
Description: bacterial SSU rRNA
Rfam family: Bacterial small subunit ribosomal RNA
Source: RNAcentral
GACGAACGCUGGCGGCGUGCUUAACACAUGCAAGUCGAACGGUGACGAGGAGCUUGCUCCUCUGAUCAGUGGCGAACGGGUGAGUAACACGUGAGCAACCUGCCCCAGACUCUGGGAUAACAGUUGGAAACAGCUGCUAAUACCGGAUACGAGACGGAGAGGCAUCUCUACCGUCUGGAAAGUUUUCGGUCUGGGAUGGACUCGCGGCCUAUCAGCUAGUUGGUGAGGUAAUGGCUCACCUAAGGCGACGACGGGUAGCCGGCCUGAGAGGGCGACCGGCCACACUGGGACUGAGACACGGCCCAGACUCCUACGGGAGGCAGCAGUGGGGAAUAUUGCACAAUGGGCGAAAGCCUGAUGCAGCGACGCCGCGUGAGGGAUGACGGCCUUCGGGUUGUAAACCUCUUUCAGCAGGGAAGAAGCGAAAGUGACGGUACCUGCAGAAGAAGCACCGGCUAACUACGUG